AACGAACGCUGGCGGCAUGCCUAACACAUGCAAGUCGAACGAGACCGUCGGGGCUAGUGGCGCAGGGGGGCGGAAGGAGGGGGAAGCUGCACGUAGGUUCGGAAUAACGGACCGAAAGGGGUGCUAAUACCGGAGAAGGUAAUCGGAGAAACGAGUUAUCGCCUUUGGAUGGGCGCGGGUUGGAUUAGGUAGUUGGUAGGGGAAAAGCCGACCAAGGCGACGAUCCAGCGCUGGUCUGAGAGGAGGAUCAGCCCCACUGGGACGGCGACCCGGCCCAGUCUCCUACGGGCGGCAGCAGUGGGGAAUAUUCGACGCUGGGCCCAAGCCUGAUCCCGCCCUGCCGCGUGAGUGAUGAAGGCCUUAGGGUUCUACAUCUCUUUUACCCGGGAUGAUAAUGCCAGUACCGGGAGAAUAAGCUCCGGCUAACUCCGUG
RNAcentral lists this ribosomal RNA (433 nucleotides) under uncultured bacterium. RNAcentral's name for it is "partial 16S ribosomal RNA". It matches the Rfam family "Bacterial small subunit ribosomal RNA", at positions 28 to 507 of the family's 1533-position model. The record is from RNAcentral.